CUUAUACUCCCUCUGUCUCACAAUUCUUGUCUUAAGUUUGUCUAGAAAUGGAUGUAUCAAAGUACUAAAACUUGACUAGAUACAUUCAUAUCUAGACAAAUCUAANNNNAGAAUUUUGGGACGGAGGAAGUAUUAG
Molecule: non-coding RNA, 136 nt
Organism: Hordeum vulgare subsp. vulgare (domesticated barley)
Lineage: Eukaryota; Viridiplantae; Streptophyta; Magnoliopsida; Poales; Poaceae
Source: Rfam